Molecule: long non-coding RNA, 1049 nt
Filed under: Triticum aestivum (bread wheat)
Lineage: Eukaryota; Viridiplantae; Streptophyta; Magnoliopsida; Poales; Poaceae
Description: long non-coding RNA (TAES_LNC006177)
Source: RNAcentral
UUGCUUCAAACUUUACUCAUCAAGGAGCAGAUAGAGUGUGAGUGGUUACUAAAUCACAACUCUUCUUAUUGCUUUAUCAUUAGUAACAUUCUAUUCAUCUUGAAUUUGUUAAGCACAACAACUACCAUUGAGAUAAUGCUGCUAAAAAUAAUUGACAUAGGCACAUGCCCUCACCUAUAUUCAGUUAUGCAUGAAAAAUGACUGCAAAUGAGAUUAGCAUCGACUAGAUAUGUCUGCACUUGCAAGUUUAAUGUGCAGUGUGCACAUGUUGACUGGGCCCUACAAAAAAAGUUUCCUCGUCGUUAUUGAGCUUGUUGGCAGCCUGAAACUUUAUGCUAAACAUGGUUCUUGCUACCUCGUCGACAAAAUACCCUCUCUUGAUUUUGGCUACAUAGUUGCCCUAGUCUUAGCCCGGGUGUUCUGCACAUUGAUCAUUGUGGGCUUAUGAUUGGCAUCUGCCUUGGGUUUGGUGUCUGUUGCGCUUCUAUCUGGAAUAUGGCAUUUGUCUAUUGUAGCACUAUGGUCACUGGCGUCCUCCCUUCUCUUCUCGGUUCUACUCCCUCCGUUCCAAAUUACUCGUCGUGGUUUUAGUUCAAAUUUGGAACGGGGGGAGUAUAAGAAAGCACAUGCUAGUCCAUUUUUUUGUUAAGCAGUUAACACCCUUAUGUGUUUUGUUUCUGUUGGUCAAGCUGGAGGUGGAGGGGCACCAGAUAUUUAUCGAAACGAUGCGGGAUUCCAAAAGGAAGAAGUCUCCCUGAGAGUAGAAGCUCUCUUCUUACCCAGACCGGUCCAGCCGACUACUUGUACAAUUAAUCGAGCCCUACCACUGUAGUCCCCCCCUAACAUUAUUGAGCUGGGCAGAGUAGCAUUCAUGCCAUUGUAUGUUGUGUUUUGUUUUAUGUAUGUUUAGGCCUCUUUUUUAGUGAGAUGAAACAAGAGAGCAACUUGUUGGAAGUAAUACAUUUGAUGUGUGCAAUCCAAUGAGUGCUGAGGCACGCAGUGAAUAUUGUUAUGCUCUUACUUCACAGAUGAUUUGAGUAGAUUCUAAG